AGAGUUUGAUCCUGGCUCAGGACGAAUGCUGGCGGUGUGCUUCACACAUGCAAGUCGAACGAGGUAGCAAUACCUAGUGGCGGACGGGUGAGUAACGCGUGGGAAUCUGCCUUAAGACGGGGGAUAGCUAGCCGAAAGGCUAAUUAAUACCGCAUAAGCCUAUAUUUCGACAGUUUUAUAGGUAAAAGGAGUAAUCCAUC
RNAcentral lists this ribosomal RNA (200 nucleotides) under uncultured bacterium. Its description in RNAcentral is "partial 16S ribosomal RNA". It matches the Rfam family "Bacterial small subunit ribosomal RNA", at positions 8 to 219 of the family's 1533-position model. The record is from RNAcentral.